UUAGAGUUUGAUCAUGGCUCAGAACGUACGCUGGCGGCACGCCUAACACAUGCAAGUCGAACGAAGUAGCAAUACUUAGUGGCAGACGGGUGAGUAACAUGUAGGUAUCUACCCUUUGGCCUGGAAUAACACGAGGAAACUUGUGCUAAUACCGGAUAAGUCUUUACAGAGAAAGCUUUAUGCACCAUUGGAUGAGCCUGCACUUGAUUAGUUUGUUGGUGGGGUAAUGGCCUACCAAGACUGUGAUCAAUAGCUGAUUUGAGAGGAUGAUCAGCCACAUUGGGACUGAGACACGGCCCAAACUCCUACGGGAGGCAGCAGUGGGGAAUCUUGCACAAUGGAGGAAACUCUGAUGCAGCGAUGCCGCGUGAGUGAAGAAGGCCUUUGGGUUGUAAAGCUCUUUCGUCGGGGAAGAAAAUGACUGUACCCGAAUAAGAAGGUCCGGCUAACUUCGUGCCAGCAGCCGCGGUAAUACGAAGGGACCUAGCGUAGUUCGGAAUUACUGGGCUUAAAGAGUUCGUAGGUGGUUGAAAAAGUUGGUGGUGAAAUCCCAGAGCUUAACUCUGGAACUGCCAUCAAAACUUUUCAGCUAGAGUAUGAUAGAGGAAAGCAGAAUUUCUAGUGUAGAGGUGAAAUUCGUAGAUAUUAGAAAGAAUACCAAUUGCGAAGGCAGCUUUCUGGAUCAUUACUGACACUGAGGAACGAAAGCAUGGGUAGCGAAGAGGAUUAGAUACCCUCGUAGUCCAUGCCGUAAACGAUGUGUGUUAGACGUUGGAAAUUUAUUUUCAGUGUCGCAGCGAAAGCGAUAAACACACCGCCUGGGGAGUACGACCGCAAGGUUAAAACUCAAAUGAAUUGACGGGGACCCGCACAAGUAGUGGAGCAUGUGGUUUAAUUCGAAGAUACGCGCAGAACCUUACCAACACUUGACAUGUUCGUCGCGACUCUAAGAGAUUAGAGUUUUCGGUUCGGCCGGACGAAACACAGGUGCUGCAUGGCUGUCGUCAGCUCGUGUCGUGAGAUGUUGGGUUAAGUCCCGCAACGAGCGCAACCCUCACUUUUAGUUGCCAUCAUUAAGUUGGGCACUCUGAAAGAACUGCCAGUGAUAAGCUGGAGGAAGGUGGGGAUGACGUCAAGUCCUCAUGGCCCUUACGUGUUGGGCUACACACGUGCUACAAUGGUAUCUACAACAGGAAGCAAGACUGCGAGGUCAAGCAAAUCCUUAAAAGAUACCUCAGUUCGGAUUGCACUCUGCAACUCGAGUGCAUGAAGCUGGAAUUACUAGUAAUCGUGGAUCAGCGUGCCACGGUGAAUGCGUUCCCGCGGUCUUGUACACACCGCC
This 1342-nucleotide ribosomal RNA is filed under the name unidentified marine bacterioplankton. RNAcentral's name for it is "partial 16S ribosomal RNA". It matches the Rfam family "Bacterial small subunit ribosomal RNA". The record is from RNAcentral.